RNAcentral lists this microRNA precursor (104 nucleotides) under Marmota monax (woodchuck). Lineage: Eukaryota; Metazoa; Chordata; Mammalia; Rodentia; Sciuridae. The record is from RNAcentral.
ACACAAAUCACCUGGGAAUCUUGUUAAAAUGCAGGUUCUGAGUCAGCAGGUCCAGGAUGGGGCCUGGGACCCUGCUACUCAAACAGGCUCCAGGGGAUGUCAGU